Molecule: long non-coding RNA, 275 nt
Organism: Myotis davidii
Lineage: Eukaryota; Metazoa; Chordata; Mammalia; Chiroptera; Vespertilionidae
Exons: 3
Source: RefSeq, a predicted model, not a curated record
CUAGACCACCGUUUGGGGAAGCGGAGAGGACCCAGGAGCUCCAGCGUGGGGUCCGCAGAGUAGGCGUGGCCCAUGGUGCCCGGCUGGGCCCCUGACAGGUGUGGGACCCGUCUCCUGCAGAAGGUUCCUUGGUUAGCAACUGAGCAGACGCCCUGCCAUCUACAGCGAUGAGGGAACCGGCCAGGGGCUGCGGCUGGAGCUCUCAUUGCCGGGCAGGAAGAGGGCAGCGUGUGCCUAAGGCAGGGCCCGCGGAGGAAGGUUCCAGAGAAAGGCCU